Molecule: ribosomal RNA, 352 nt
Filed under: uncultured Anaerolineaceae bacterium
Lineage: Bacteria; Bacillati; Chloroflexota; Anaerolineae; Anaerolineales; Anaerolineaceae
Description: bacterial SSU rRNA
Rfam family: Bacterial small subunit ribosomal RNA
Source: RNAcentral
GACCCUUCGGGGAGCCUAGUACAGGUGUUGCAUGGCUGUCGUCAGCUCGUGUCGUGAGAUGUUCGGUUAAGUCCGCUAACGAGCGCAACCCUCGUCGUAUGUUAUAUGUGUCAUACGAGACUGCCGGUAAAAGCCGGAGGAAGGUGAGGAUGAUGUCAAGUCAGCAUGACCUUUAUAUCCAGGGCUACACACACGCUACAAUGGUCUGUACAAUGGGUAGCCAAGCCGCGAGCGGAGCCAAUCCUGAAAGCAGGCCUCAGUUCAGAUUGCAGUCUGCAACUCGACUGCAUGAAGCCGGAGUUGCUAGUAACCGCAGGUCAGCAAUACUGCGGUGAAUACGUUCCCGGGUCUU